AGCGAACGCUAGCGGCGGGCCUAACACAUGCAAGUCGAGCGGAAUCCUUCGGGGUCAGCGGCGGACGGGUGAGUAACACGUAGGUAAUGUACCUUCUGGUGGGGAAUAACCUUGGGAAACCAGGGCUAAUACCGCAUAUCGCGCUUCGGCGUGAAAGCCUUCGGGCGCCAGUUGAGCAGCCUGCGUCCCAUUAUUUAGUCCUAGUUGGUAGGGUAAUGGCCUACCAAGGGUACGAUGGGUAGCUGGCUGAGAGGAUGAUCAGCCACACUGGAACUGAGACACGGUCCAGACUCCUACGGGAGGCAGCAGUGGGGAAUAUUGCGCAAUGGGCGAAAGCCUGACGCAGCCACGCCGCGUGAGUGAUGAAGGCCUUCGGUU
This 378-nucleotide ribosomal RNA is filed under the name uncultured bacterium. RNAcentral's name for it is "bacterial SSU rRNA". It matches the Rfam family "Bacterial small subunit ribosomal RNA", at positions 29 to 423 of the family's 1533-position model. The record is from RNAcentral.